AACGAACGCUGGCGGCAUGCCUAACACAUGCAAGUCGAACGAGACCUUCGGGUCUAGUGGCGCACGGGUGCGUAACGCGUGGGAACCUGCCCUUAGGUUCGGAAUAACUCCCCGAAAGGGGUGCUAAUACCGGAUAAUUUCUUCGGACCAAAGAUUUAUCGCCUUUGGAUGGGCCCGCGUUGGAUUAGCUAGUUGGUAGGGUAAAAGCCUACCAAGGCGACGAUCCAUAGCUGGUCUGAGAGGAUGAUCAGCCACACUGGGACUGAGACACGGCCCAGACUCCUACGGGAAGCAGCAGUGGGGAAUAUUGGACAAUGGGCGAAAGCCUGAUCCAGCAAUGCCGCGUGAGUGAUGAAGGCCUUAGGGUUGUAAAGCUCUUUUACCCGGGAUGAUAAUGACAGUACCGGGAGAAUAAGCUCCGGCUAACUCCGUG
Molecule: ribosomal RNA, 433 nt
Filed under: uncultured bacterium
Lineage: Bacteria
Description: partial 16S ribosomal RNA
Rfam family: Bacterial small subunit ribosomal RNA
Source: RNAcentral